Molecule: long non-coding RNA, 285 nt
Organism: Ornithorhynchus anatinus (platypus)
Lineage: Eukaryota; Metazoa; Chordata; Mammalia; Monotremata; Ornithorhynchidae
Exons: 3
Source: RefSeq, a predicted model, not a curated record
GCUUCCCCAGUCCAGCCCCGAGAGCCGUGGAGCCGCCGCUGCCGAGUCUACGACUCAACCUUUGACUUCGGCUUUUCGUUGAAGAAGAAAGCAGAAACACCCUGAUAGAGCACGGGCCUCCAUUAGCUCUCAGCCGUGACACAGAACCCCAUCUGGUGGGACAGAUCUAAGCUGCAGGCCAUCCAAAGCAGUGCCCUCUAAACUGAAUUAAACCAGAAGACAUGAGGGAAUGGAAAGAGCACAGAUCUGAGAGGAGACCUGGAAUCGAAUCCCAACUCUAGCACU